UACGUAGGGUGCGAGCGUUAAUCGGAAUUACUGGGCGUAAAGCGUGCGCAGGCGGUUUUAUAAGUCAGAUGUGAAAUCCCCGGGCUCAACCUGGGACCUGCCUUUGAGACUGUAUAACUAGAGUACGGUAGAGGGGGAUGGAAUUCCGCGUGUAGCAGUGAAAUGCGUAGAUAUGCGGAGGAACACCGAUGGCGAAGGCAAUCCCCUGGACCUGUACUGACGCUCAUGCACGAAAGCGUGGGGAGCAAACAGG
Molecule: ribosomal RNA, 253 nt
Filed under: uncultured bacterium
Lineage: Bacteria
Description: partial 16S ribosomal RNA
Rfam family: Bacterial small subunit ribosomal RNA
Source: RNAcentral